AGGAGAAUCUAAAUGAAAAAGGAGAUCGCGACAUCCAAAUAAGGAAGGAGAUUGCAAGAAUCCCUCGAUUCUCGAAUUAUUCUUACUUCCAUGUCUAUUUUUAAAAUUUAAUUUAAAUUUUUGAUAGGAUCCAAAUAAGAAAGAAGAUCGCAACAUCCAGAUAACAAAGGAGGAUCUGUAUGAGAAAAGAGAUCGCAAUGUCUAAAUAAGGAUCCAAAUGAGGAAG
This 226-nucleotide long non-coding RNA is filed under the name Elaeis guineensis (African oil palm). Its description in RNAcentral is "long non-coding RNA (EGUI_LNC008428)". Lineage: Eukaryota; Viridiplantae; Streptophyta; Magnoliopsida; Arecales; Arecaceae. The record is from RNAcentral.